Molecule: long non-coding RNA, 727 nt
Organism: Sceloporus undulatus (fence lizard)
Lineage: Eukaryota; Metazoa; Chordata; Lepidosauria; Squamata; Phrynosomatidae
Exons: 3
Source: RefSeq, a predicted model, not a curated record
GUUGUUGUUGUUGCAUGCCUCCAAGUCGUUUCUGAUUUAUGGUGACCAUAAGGCAACCCCAUCUUUAUUUGAGUGCUGACACGCGUGAGCAACCAAACUCACAGAGUUGUGCGUAGCUGCAGGUCCAUUGCGUGAAUAAGAAACCCAGAAUGUGUCAGUGAGAGUAUGCACAUAGUCACAUGAAAAAACACAUGCGUGAUGACCCCGUAGACAGCCACCUUGAAUCCUAUUUCAGGAAAAAAGUGCAGCAUGGAUUCAAUAAUAAACAAGCUGAGCUAGAUGGACCAAGAUUGUGAUGCAGUAUAAGGCCGUUUUCUAUUUCUGAAUGAAGUCACGCAGCUCCUCCUGCAGAUGUUGUUGAGCUCCAGUUCUGAGCAUUUCCCACCACUGGCUAUGGUGUCUAGGCCUGCUGGGAGUGGCAGUUUAAUAUCUUGGGGGCUUGACAAUUCCCCUCGUUCCCACAGGCAAAGACAAGGACCAACACAGGUUCACUAACCAAAGUAAUCACUGGAUUCCUGGCUGCUCUAAUAGAACCCCAUCAAACCACAAAAUUCAUGGGGUCAUCAAACCAGAAGAUGCUGCUGCUCAACACCAGCUGCUGCCAGCUCAGCCUUUGUUCUUGCAUUAAUGCCUUCAGGAGCCACCACAACCACUUUGCGCUGCUUUGCAGGGAGUUGGGAAAGUACAUUGGAUUUCAGUCGGCGGAUCAUGAUAGACUCUUCCAGAA